AGAGUUUGAUCAUGGCUCAGAACGAACGCUGGCGGCAUGCCUAACACAUGCAAGUCGAACGAGACCUUCGGGUCUAGUGGCGCACGGGUGCGUAACGCGUGGGAAUCUGCCCUUGGGUCUGGAAUAACAGUUAGAAAUGACUGCUAAUACCGGAUGAUGACUUCGGUCCAAAGAUUUAUCGCCCAGGGAUGAGCCCGCGUCGGAUUAGCUAGUUGGUGAGGUAAAAGCUCACCAAGGCGACGAUCCGUAGCUGGUCUGAGAGGAUGAUCAGCCACACUGGGACUGAGACACGGCCCAGACUCCUACGGGAGGCAGCAGUGGGGAAUAUUGGACAAUGGGCGAAAGCCUGAUCCAGCAAUGCCGCGUGAGUGAUGAAGGCCCUAGGGUUGUAAAGCUCUUUUACCCGGGAUGAUAAUGACAGUACCGGGAGAAUAAGCCCCGGCUAACUCCGUGCCAGCAGCCGCGGUA
Molecule: ribosomal RNA, 468 nt
Filed under: uncultured Pseudomonadota bacterium
Lineage: Bacteria; Pseudomonadati; Pseudomonadota
Description: bacterial SSU rRNA
Rfam family: Bacterial small subunit ribosomal RNA
Source: RNAcentral